CCCAGACUCCUACGGGAGGCAGCAGUGGGAAUAUUGCACACUGGGCGAAAGCCUUCUGCAGCAACUCCGCUUGAAGGAAGAAGGCCUUCGGGUCGUCCCCUUCUGUCCUUUUUUAAGAAGAACUGCCGGUACCCACUUAUUCAGCCCCGUCUCCCUACGUGCCCUCCUCCGCGGUAAUCCGUCUGGGGCAAUCUUUAUCCGGAAUUCUUGGGCGUAAAGAGUACGUAGGUGGCAACCUAAGCGCAGGGUUUAAGGCAAGGGAGCAACCAUUGUUCGCCCUGCGAACUGGGAUGCUUGAGUGCAGGAGAGGAAAGCGGAAUUCCGAGUGUAGCGGUGAAAUGCGUAGAGAGGAGGAGGAACACCAGUGGCGAAGGCGGCUUUCUGGACUGUAACUGACACUGAGGUACGAAAGCGUGGGGAGCACACAGGAUUAGAUACCCCUGUAU
RNAcentral lists this ribosomal RNA (446 nucleotides) under uncultured bacterium. RNAcentral describes it as "bacterial SSU rRNA". It matches the Rfam family "Bacterial small subunit ribosomal RNA", at positions 330 to 793 of the family's 1533-position model. The record is from RNAcentral.